GUGAGUUUAACACUUCAUCACUGACACACACAACAAUCUUCAUCAACAUGACCUUCAUCAUCAUCUUCACCUGGACUCUUUUAUACUGCUUUAUACUACAAGGGUGUAAAGCUCAGAUCACAGUCACUCAGACUCCAGAGAAAACUGUCACACCAGGAGAAAAUGUUGUGAUGAACUGUAAAUUUAGUUCUGCUCCAUCCUAUGUGUCCUGGUACUUACAGAAACCUGGAGAAGCUCCUAAACUCCUGAUUUAUUAUACAAACACUCUCCAGUCAGGAACUCCAUCUAGAUUCAGUGGCAGUGGAUCUGGAACUGAUUUCACUCUGACCAUCAGUGGAGUCCAGACUGAAGAUGCUGGACAUUAUUACUGUCAGAGUGCUUACUCUAUCAGUAGUAGCUGGGUGUUCACACAGUGAUAAAGAGUGGUACAAAAACCUCGGUCAGUCAGAGUCACAGUGACUGAACUGAUGCUGCAGCUGAUCAAACACUAUCACUCACUAC
Non-coding RNA from Cyprinus carpio (common carp), 501 nucleotides. NCBI's taxonomy places the organism in Eukaryota, Metazoa, Chordata, Actinopteri, Cypriniformes, Cyprinidae. The record is from the annotation of a RefSeq genome assembly.